This 1122-nucleotide long non-coding RNA is filed under the name Helianthus annuus (common sunflower). RNAcentral's name for it is "hypothetical non coding rna". Lineage: Eukaryota; Viridiplantae; Streptophyta; Magnoliopsida; Asterales; Asteraceae. The record is from RNAcentral.
UUUCUUUUCUUAUUCUCUCUAUACGUUUGUGUUCUAACCAAUAAUCACUGAUGCAAUGUUCUAUCCGAUCGAUUCAGGAACCAACUAACGGAUGCCAAAGUGCUGUACUUUGUGAAUUUCGUUAAACGGAUGCCAAAGUGCUAUACUUUGUGAGUUCGUUAAACGGAUGCCAAAGUGCUGUCUAAACAAGACUAUACUUUGUGAAUUUCGUUAAGGUUCGAAUCUCGUGACCAUCGUUAGGUUUGAUUAGGUUUAACACUAAUACGUAUUCCAUUCUGUUAAACUAAAUGUUUAACUACUCGAAACUCUACCCCAUACACUUACAAUCAAAAUGGAUGCUGAAUCAUCAGAAGGUUCAAAACGAUAAAGUAUAUGCUUAAUUAUCAGAAGGAGUAGAAUCAAGAAGCUUGUUAAAUUAAUACUGCAUGCUUAUAAUGUAAUUACAGUAGAUUGGAACAAGAGUGAUGAUACGGCACCGAAAGGCUUAAAGAAGUGGCUUAUUUUAUUAAUUAAACUAAAUCAAUAAAUGUUGUUCAUGCUGAAGCUACCUUUGUAAAACAUGGGUUUAUUCCCAUCUGUUUAAUAAACAAAAAUCCGGUGUUUCAAAACUCUGAUAUUUUUCCUAACUCACGGUCCUGAUGAACAUUUCCGCUGCAACAUUUUUAAAAUAACCACCGGUACCACUUGGCUGCUCGCGGCUCUCGAUUCCGUCCAGGGUGGGGUCGGGGGUCGUGACAGUCCGCAUUGGUUCUUUUGGCAGAAUGACAUGACUUAGCAAAAGAUAGCAUGGGUAAUCAUGAGUUAGGAAGCUAAGUUCAAGACGGCUCGGAUGAAGAUGUGCUAAGCGAUGGUCACUGACAAAGGCCCAAGUUUUGCAGAGGGUUCAGGGGCAUUGGUAAGAAAGUCGGGAACCAGAAGGCAAUAUUACCUUAGUGAGAUGAAGGAUAAAAGGCGAGAAAUAAAAUAAUAGUAAAUAGUACACAAUAUUAUUCAAGAGUACAAUGUAAUAUGUAGAGACUUAUCAUUUUUGCUUACUUAUUAUGAAUUCAUUGUAAUUUAAUAUUUACUUAAGUAAUGGAAUGUUUCUUUCAUUUAAAAGUAACAUUAUUAAAGAAUAUAAUU